UAAGCUCCAAACCAACGUUAUUGGCAACAAGUCAGUUUGGGUCUUGUACGGUUUGCUCAAAAUCUCGUCGGUUUGGUCUCACCUUCUCGAACUUAAUGAGCUAGGGAGAAGCGGAGAGUUUCCGGGUGCUACCUGGUUCGGGAGCUUGCUGCGACGGACGGCGACGGGUGAGUUGGCUUCCGCAGAAGGUCGAGACGAUUCAGACGAACCGCCGGCGAAGGGGGAGAAAAUCUCUCACUCUCGGUCUCUCUCUCCGAAUGUACCCUUCCGAGAAGUACCCCUCUCACUCGCUCCUCUCUCGCUUCUAUAAGCACCGGCGCGCAUGGCCUCCUGCCACGCCAGCCAUUGCUUGCCGGUCUCCCCCCGACCACCAACUCUGGCUCUUUUUUGCAGAAUGCCUAAGGGAAAGUGAGGGAGAGGAAGAGAAG
Molecule: long non-coding RNA, 428 nt
Filed under: Eucalyptus grandis
Lineage: Eukaryota; Viridiplantae; Streptophyta; Magnoliopsida; Myrtales; Myrtaceae
Description: long non-coding RNA (EGRA_LNC000275)
Source: RNAcentral